This is a long non-coding RNA of Saccostrea cuccullata (small rock oyster), 256 nucleotides long. RefSeq lists it as uncharacterized. The record is from RefSeq and is a predicted model, not a curated record. The transcript has 3 exons. NCBI's taxonomy places the organism in Eukaryota, Metazoa, Mollusca, Bivalvia, Ostreida, Ostreidae.
UUUCCUUACCUACUUUCACUUUCGACCAAACUGACGUGGACGUGAACAAAAUGUAAACAUCGCCUCAAAGGUGUUAAUUUUUCAGUAUGGGUGAGGGCAGAAAGCAGGGAGGGAGAAUUUUUGUGUACCUACAAUGUUAUUUUGUCACAAUAGCCACUAUACUGGGUACAGGAAUAUUAGGUCUUCCAGUUACUUUGAGUGAAUCUGGAAUUUAUCCCUUCUUGGUGUCUUUCCUGUUUGGUGCCUUUAUGCAGGU